RNAcentral lists this ribosomal RNA (462 nucleotides) under uncultured bacterium. RNAcentral's name for it is "partial 16S ribosomal RNA". It matches the Rfam family "Bacterial small subunit ribosomal RNA", at positions 28 to 507 of the family's 1533-position model. The record is from RNAcentral.
GAUAAACGCUGGCGGCGUGCUUAACACAUGCAAGUCGAACGAAGUUUUUCCUUCGGGAGCAACUUAGUGGCGGACGGGUGAGUAACGCGUGGGUAACCUGCCUUGUACAGGGGGACAACAGACGGUAACGGCCGCUAAUACCGCCUAAGCAAUUAUAACUGCAUGGUGCAUUGGGAAAAGGAGCAAUCCGGUACAGGAUGGACCCGCGACUGAUUAGCCAGUUGGUAGGGUAACGGGCUACCAAAGCGACGAUCAGUAGCCGAUCUGAGAGGAUGUACGGCCACAUUGGGACUGAGACACGGCCCAGACUCCUACGGGAGGCAGCAGUGGUGAAUAUGGCACAAUGGAGGAAACUCUGAUGCAGCGACGCCGCGUGAGUGAAGAAGUAUUUCGGUAUGUAAAGCUCUAUCAGCAGUGAAGAAAAUGACGGUACCUUACUAAGAAGCACCGGCUAAAUACGUG